GAGGAAUAUUGGUCAAUGGACGCAAGUCUGAACCAGCCAUGCCGCGUGCAGGAUGACGGCUCUAUGAGUUGUAAACUGCUUUUGUACGAGGGUAAACCCCGAUACGUGUAUCGGGUUGAAAGUAUCGUACGAAUAAGGAUCGGCUAACUCC
Molecule: ribosomal RNA, 151 nt
Filed under: uncultured bacterium
Lineage: Bacteria
Description: partial 16S ribosomal RNA
Rfam family: Bacterial small subunit ribosomal RNA
Source: RNAcentral